RNAcentral lists this long non-coding RNA (495 nucleotides) under Setaria viridis. RNAcentral describes it as "long non-coding RNA (SVIR_LNC009378)". The record is from RNAcentral. Lineage: Eukaryota; Viridiplantae; Streptophyta; Magnoliopsida; Poales; Poaceae.
GGAAAUCAAGAAGGGGAAUCACGUGGAAGCAUUUGAACCAAAGUUUGAAGGCAUUGUCUCUUCUUCCCAAAGGUAUCCAAAGUCCAUCUCGCCUGAUUUCUCAAUGUAGGUCAUUUUUGUGGAUUCCUUUUAGAUAGAAAGCCUCUCUAGAUGUCAUAGGCCUAGGAUCUACAAUUUCAACUUGUUCCAUGACGAAUUUGUUGGGUAUGAGAAAUUAGUUUUUGGUCUGCGAAGUUCCGGAAACUCCGAAAAAUAUGUUAUGGAAAUUCCGCAACUUGUGGAAUCUCCGAACAGUUUUCCGAAAUCUCAUAACUUGGAAGUACAUAUGAACCUAGAGCUAACUCCUAGACCUUUCUUCCUAGCUUAGUUAUCUUGAGAUGAUUCUUCUGUGUGUCACACUACCCAUCCUAUCAUUAUCUUUACCCAUGUCGUGUGUAAUGUAUCUACUCAUCCUAUGAUAUACUCAUAUGCAUAGUAAACUCUUUUGACCUACCC